This 503-nucleotide ribosomal RNA is filed under the name uncultured bacterium. Its description in RNAcentral is "bacterial SSU rRNA". It matches the Rfam family "Bacterial small subunit ribosomal RNA", at positions 501 to 1006 of the family's 1533-position model. The record is from RNAcentral.
CUACGUGCCAGCAGCCGCGGUAAUACGGAAGGUCCGGGCGUUAUCCGGAUUUAUUGGGUUUAAAGGGAGCGUAGGCUGGAGAUUAAGUGUGUUGUGAAAUGUAGACGCUCAACGUCUGACUUGCAGCGCAUACUGGUUUCCUUGAGUACGCACAACGUUGGCGGAAUUCGUCGUGUAGCGGUGAAAUGCUUAGAUAUGACGAAGAACUCCGAUUGCGAAGGCAGCUGACGGGAGCGCAACUGACGCUUAAGCUCGAAGGUGCGGGUAUCGAACAGGAUUAGAUACCCUGGUAGUCCGCACAGUAAACGAUGGAUGCCCGCUGUUGGUACCUGGUAUCAGCGGCUAAGCGAAAGCAUUAAGCAUCCCACCUGGGGAGUACGCCGGCAACGGUGAAACUCAAAGGAAUUGACGGGGGCCCGCACAAGCGGAGGAACAUGUGGUUUAAUUCGAUGAUACGCGAGGAACCUUACCCGGGCUUGAAUUGCAGUCGCUGCCCACAGAGA